AUAUCAGUCAUGCAUAGCAUAUCAAUAAGCGGAGGAAAAGAAACUAACAAGGAUUCCCUUAGUAACGGCGAGUGAAGCGGGAAGAGCUCAAAUUUGAAAUCUUCAAGGUUCUACCUUGACGAAUUGUAGUUUAUAGAAGUGUUUUCUGUUAGUGGAGUGGCAAAAGUUCUUUGGAAUAGGACAUCAUAGAGGGUGAGAAUCCCGUAUUUGGUCAUUCCUCCUAGCGUUGUGAUACACUUUCAACGAGUCGGAUUGUUUGGGAAUGCAGACCAAAAUGGGUGGUAAAUUUCAUCUAAAGCUAAAUAUUGGCGAGAGACCGAUAGCGAACAAGUACCGUGAGGGAAAGAUGAAAAGAACUUUGAAAAGAGAGUUAAACAGUACGUGAAAUUGUCAAAAGGGAAGCGUUUGACACCAGUGUUGUUUUUCCGAAAAUCAAUUACGAAUGUUUUAUUUUUGAGGAGUUAUGACUUCAUCGGCUUGCUUCUCUCCUUACGAAACUUUCUUAAUGCACUUUUCGGUUAACAAGUCAACAUCAAUUUCUUUUGUUGUAAAAGGGUAUGAGGAAGGUGGCUUUCUUCUCGGAGAGAGUGUUUAUAGCCUUGUACCUCUGCAAUCGGAGAGAUUGAGGUCUGCAGCGUAGAUCCUUCGGGGUUAGAUACAUUUGUGCUAAGUUAUAGCUUUCAUAGACAACUUGUUGACUAUGAUUAGUCAUUGUAGCUUACUCGCUUAUGCUAUUUUACCUACGCUUAGGAUGUUGAUCUCUCACAGUCGAGC
RNAcentral lists this ribosomal RNA (774 nucleotides) under uncultured Neocallimastigales. Its description in RNAcentral is "partial large subunit ribosomal RNA". It matches the Rfam family "Eukaryotic large subunit ribosomal RNA", at positions 22 to 645 of the family's 3401-position model. Lineage: Eukaryota; Fungi; Neocallimastigomycota; Neocallimastigomycetes; Neocallimastigales. The record is from RNAcentral.